UGGGGAAUAUUGCGCAAUGGGCGCAAGCCUGAUCCAGCAAUGCCGCGUGUGUGAAGAAGGCCUUCGGGUUGUAAAGCACUUUUAUCAGGAACGAAAAGCGGAGGGUUAAUACCCAUCCGUGCUGACGGUACCUGAGGAAUAAGCACCGGCUAACUUCGUGCCAGCAGCCGCGGUAAUACGAAGGGUGCAAGCGUUAAUCGGAAUUACUGGGCGUAAAGCGUGCGUAGAUGGCCGAUUAAGUCGGAUGUGAAAGCCCCGGGCUCAACCUGGGAACGGCAUCCGAUACUGGUGGGCUAGAGUGCGGUAGAGGAGAGCGGAAUUCCCGGUGUAGCGGUGAAAUGCGUAGAGAUCGGGGAGGAACAUCCGUGGCGAAGGCGGCUCACUGGAUCGGUACUGACGCUGAGGUGCGAAAGCG
Molecule: ribosomal RNA, 415 nt
Filed under: uncultured bacterium
Lineage: Bacteria
Description: bacterial SSU rRNA
Rfam family: Bacterial small subunit ribosomal RNA
Source: RNAcentral